CUUGGUCCCUGAGCUGCUGGGCUCUCAGCCCCUCUGGCCUUGUACCCCUGCCCUAGCCCUUCCUGCACCUCUGGACCCCCUGGGGGCACUGCUCCCUCAUUACCUUCUCCAGUCUGUCUCUAUCUCCUGCAGCCCCAACAGGGAGCUCUGCAGCACCUGCUGAUAGAGGAGGAAGAACUAUGGAUCGGAACUAAUUCCCAAGGGGAAGGUCAGAGGACGUGAAGACAAGAAAAAUGACCCCGGUCCAGGCGUGAGCAGUGUGGUCUAUCAAGGAAGACUUCCUGGAGGAGGCGGGAUUCAGGCGCAGCAUCGGACAGCAGAUGGCAGCAGCGUAGCAUUGGGGUAGCCCUGAGACCACAGAGCAGAGGGCAGCAGAGCGGGAGGAACCAGGGGAGCUUGGCUCCGCAGCCCCAGGGUCUGGGUUCAAGUUCUAACAGGACAAGCUCACCCCCUGAAAUCGCAUCACCAUGGAGACGGAUUCGGCUUCGAUGCUCGACCCCCGGCCAGCUACCUCAGCUGCCUC
Long non-coding RNA from Phascolarctos cinereus (koala), 523 nucleotides. RefSeq lists it as uncharacterized. NCBI's taxonomy places the organism in Eukaryota, Metazoa, Chordata, Mammalia, Diprotodontia, Phascolarctidae. The record is from RefSeq and is a predicted model, not a curated record.